Long non-coding RNA from Corticium candelabrum, 441 nucleotides. RefSeq lists it as uncharacterized. Lineage: Eukaryota; Metazoa; Porifera; Homoscleromorpha; Homosclerophorida; Plakinidae. The record is from RefSeq and is a predicted model, not a curated record. The transcript is spliced from 2 exons.
CACGUUACCGCUUGACCUUCUUUCAUCGUACGCUGUGUGCUCCUUCCAACGUUACUCAUUUCGAAACGAUGCCUCCACAGCUCCGCUCACUUCUUCUUACUCGGAUAAAGACAGAUCUUGCUGUUCUACCCGUCCUCUGCGCAGCCGGCGGUUUUCUCUGGUAUUGGUUCGUCAUGAAGCCGAGGAGAGAAGAAUACGCUGCGUUCUAUAAAGGCUAUAACGCUGAAGCCGUAGCGAAAAAGCUAGAAGCAGAACAAGGCUAGCUUUUCGUGAAGGAGACUGGAAGUCGAAUGGACUAGUAGACGCGUGUAUGUAGAUGUCUGGUGUAUGUUUAGACGGACGGUGACUAAUGUGUUGUGUGUAAAUGAAAAACUUAAUCGUUGCCAUGGUAACACUACCCGUGACGUCACAGAGAAAAUAGAAAUUGUUGUAACAUUGCCA